GGGUUGUGAGGUUAAGCGACUAAGCGUACACGGUGGAUGCCCUGGCAGUCAGAGGCGAUGAAGGACGUGCUAAUCUGCGAAAAGCGUCGGUAAGGUGAUAUGAACCGUUAUAGCCGGCGAUGUCCGAAUGGGGAAACCCAGUGCAAUUCGUUGCACUAUCGUUAACUGAAUACAUAGGUUAACGAGGCGAACCGGGGGAACUGAAACAUCUAAGUACCCCGAGGAAAAGAAAUCAACCGAGAUUCCCCCAGUAGCGGCGAGCGAACGGGGAGCAGCCCGGAGUCUGAAUCAGCUUGUGUGUUAGUGGAAGCGUCUGGAAAGUCGCAGGGUACAGGGUGAUACUCCCGUACACUAAAACGCACAGGUUGUGAACUCGAAGAGUAGGGCGGGACACGUGGUAUCCUGUCUGAAUAUGGGGGGACCAUCCUCCAAGGCUAAAUACUCCUGACUGACCGAUAGUGAACCAGUACCGUGAGGGAAAGGCGAAAAGAACCCCGGCGAGGGGAGUGAAAAAGAACCUGAAACCGUGUACGUACAAGCAGUAGGAGCCCACUAGUUGGGUGACUGCGUACCUUUUGUAUAAUGGGUCAGCGACUUAUAUUCUGUAGCAAGGUUAACCGUAUAGGGGAGCCGCAGGGAAACCGAGUCUUAACUGGGCGUUAAGUUGCAGGGUAUAGACCCGAAACCCGGUGAUCUAGCCAUGGGCAGGUUGAAGGUUGGGUAACACUAACUGGAGGACCGAACCGACUAAUGUUGAAAAAUUAGCGGAUGACUUGUGGCUGGGGGUGAAAGGCCAAUCAAACCGGGAGAUAGCUGGUUCUCCCCGAAAGCUAUUUAGGUAGCGCCUCGUGAACUCAUCUUCGGGGGUAGAGCACUGUUUCGGCUAGGGGGUCAUCCCGACUUACCAACCCGAUGCAAACUACGAAUACCGAAGAAUGUUAUCACGGGAGACACACGGCGGGUGCUAACGUCCGUCGUGAAGAGGGAAACAACCCAGACCGCCAGCUAAGGUCCCAAAGUCAUGGUUAAGUGGGAAACGAUGUGGGAAGGCCCAGACAGCCAGGAUGUUGGCUUAGAAGCAGCCAUCAUUUAAAGAAAGCGUAAUAGCUCACUGGUCGAGUCGGCCUGCGCGGAAGAUGUAACGGGGCUAAACCAUGCACCGAAGCUGCGGCAGCGACACUAUGUGUUGUUGGGUAGGGGAGCGUUCUGUAAGCCGUUGAAGGUGGCCUGUGAGGGUUGCUGGAGGUAUCAGAAGUGCGAAUGCUGACAUAAGUAACGAUAAUGCGGGUGAAAAACCCGCACGCCGGAAGACCAAGGGUUCCUGUCCAACGUUAAUCGGGGCAGGGUGAGUCGACCCCUAAGGCGAGGCCGAAAGGCGUAGUCGAUGGGAAACAGGUUAAUAUUCCUGUACUCGGUGUUACUGCGAAGGGGGGACGGAGAAGGCUAUGUUGGCCGGGCGACGGUUGUCCCGGUUUAAGCAUGUAGGCGGAUGUUCCAGGUAAAUCCGGAGCGUCACUAACGCUGAGGUGUGAUGACGAGGCACUACGGUGCUGAAGUGACAAAUGCCCUGCUUCCAGGAAAAGCCUCUAAGCAUCAGGUAACAUCAAAUCGUACCCCAAACCGACACAGGUGGUCAGGUAGAGAAUACCAAGGCGCUUGAGAGAACUCGGGUGAAGGAACUAGGCAAAAUGGUGCCGUAACUUCGGGAGAAGGCACGCUGAUGGUAAGUGAAGCGACUUGCUCGUGGAGCUGAAAUCAGUCGAAGAUACCAGCUGGCUGCAACUGUUUAUUAAAAACACAGCACUGUGCAAACACGAAAGUGGACGUAUACGGUGUGACGCCUGCCCGGUGCCGGAAGGUUAAUUGAUGGGGUUAUCCGUAAGGAGAAGCUCUUGAUCGAAGCCCCGGUAAACGGCGGCCGUAACUAUAACGGUCCUAAGGUAGCGAAAUUCCUUGUCGGGUAAGUUCCGACCUGCACGAAUGGCGUAAUGAUGGCCAGGCUGUCUCCACCCGAGACUCAGUGAAAUUGAACUCGCUGUGAAGAUGCAGUGUACCCGCGGCAAGACGGAAAGACCCCGUGAACCUUUACUAUAGCUUGACACUGAACACUGGUCCUUGAUGUGUAGGAUAGGUGGGAGGCUUUGAAGUGUGGACGCCAGUCUGCAUGGAGCCAUCCUUGAAAUACCACCCUUUAAUGGCUGGUGUUCUAACGUGGGCCCCUAAUCGGGGUUGCGGACAGUGUCUGGUGGGUAGUUUGACUGGGGCGGUCUCCUCCUAAAGAGUAACGGAGGAGCACGAAGGUCAGCUAAUCCUGGUCGGACAUCAGGAGGUUAGUGCAAUGGCAUAAGCUGGCUUGACUGCGAGCGUGACGGCGCGAGCAGGUGCGAAAGCAGGUCAUAGUGAUCCGGUGGUUCUGAAUGGAAGGGCCAUCGCUCAACGGAUAAAAGGUACUCCGGGGAUAACAGGCUGAUACCGCCCAAGAGUUCAUAUCGACGGCGGUGUUUGGCACCUCGAUGUCGGCUCAUCACAUCCUGGGGCUGAAGUAGGUCCCAAGGGUAUGGCUGUUCGCCAUUUAAAGUGGUACGCGAGCUGGGUUUAGAACGUCGUGAGACAGUUCGGUCCCUAUCUGCCGUGGGCGCUGGAGAAUUGAGGGGGGCUGCUCCUAGUACGAGAGGACCGGAGUGGACGCAUCACUGGUGUUCGGGUUGUCAUGCCAAUGGCAUUGCCCGGUAGCUAAAUGCGGAAGAGAUAAGUGCUGAAAGCAUCUAAGCACGAAACUUGCCCCGAGAUGAGUUCUCCCUGACCCUUUAAGGGUCCUGAAGGAACGUUGAAGACGACGACGUUGAUAGGCCGGGUGUGUAAGCGCAGCGAUGCGUUGAGCUAACCGGUACUAAUGAACCGUGAGGCUUAACCUUACAACGCCGAAG
RNAcentral lists this ribosomal RNA (2927 nucleotides) under Klebsiella michiganensis. RNAcentral's name for it is "23S ribosomal RNA". It matches the Rfam family "Bacterial large subunit ribosomal RNA". Lineage: Bacteria; Pseudomonadati; Pseudomonadota; Gammaproteobacteria; Enterobacterales; Enterobacteriaceae. The record is from RNAcentral.